This 1519-nucleotide ribosomal RNA is filed under the name Triticum aestivum (bread wheat). Its description in RNAcentral is "partial small subunit ribosomal RNA". The record is from RNAcentral. Lineage: Eukaryota; Viridiplantae; Streptophyta; Magnoliopsida; Poales; Poaceae.
GCCGGUCCUUUUCCAUGCCCCUCGCUUCCCACUACCCCCGGUCUUCCGCCGUGAACGCCAAUCGCCGGCGCGAGAGCGCGACCAUUCCCUUCCUCCCGCAGCGUCGGCCUCCACCUCCGCACCUACUCCCCAGGUACCACCUCCCUCCUCUUUUUGACCGCGGCGCCGUCCUACCCCUAGUCCCUCUCCCCGGCCGCCGCUUCCACUGGAUAGGAUAAGCAGGGUCCGGCUCGUCGGGGCCCAAAUCCGGCCGCCGGAGCACGGAACAGCCCGGAUUGGUCCUCUUAGCUGACGCCGGAAGACCAACCUAUCGACCUCGCGCACGCUGGGAGGCUAGCCGUUGCCCUCGCUGCCUCCUCCGUCGGCGCGACUCGCAAGCAAGGCCGCGACCAGAAGCGCGCCCAGCGGAGGCAUCUACACCACUGGCGCGAAACGUUCCAUCUCCAGCAGUGAAGAAAUUUCAGCUGCAAUCCCUCUCCGGUCUUUCGCCAUGGAAAAUGCCUGCACAAGCCUCAACCAGGUGGCCCGCUCGGCACGGCUGCUCAACAUCGACGGCUUCAGCCUGACCGCAGGCAUGGGCGGCGACUACUGCCUCAAGUCCAUAUGGACUGUCGAUGGGUACGAGCUGGAAGUCCUUAACUAUCCGGGCACCACAUGGGUGGCUCUGAAACUCGUCUUCCUCAGCGAAGCCCGCACACAGUGGGGCGUGAGGGCGAGCAUGGCCUGUCAGCUGGUGGAUCUCAGCAGGGAGCUUGAGCCGUAUCAUGAGUACGGCGUGUCAGAAACCUUCCAUCACCCCCAAGACUUCGGGGCACUGGUCUUCAUGGACAGAAAUAAGAUACCAUCCGGUUAUAUCAAGGAUGAUAUGUUGACUCUGCGAUGCGCGAUCAUGGUACUCAGGGAGUUACCAGUGCCAACCAUCCCAGCUGAAGAAGUGGUCGCACCACCAUCCACCAACUUGCACCAGCACCUCGGCGAACUCCUGCAGAGCGAGAUGGGAGCCGAUGUCACUUUUCUUGCGUGCGACGAGUCGUUUGCUGCACACAGGUACAUACUUGCCGCAAGGUCUCCGGUUUUCAAGGCCCGGUUCUUCGGAGACAUGAAGGACAAGUGCUCAGCACGCGUGGAGAUCAAGGACAUGGAGGCGGCGGCAUUCAGCGCCAUGCUGCACUUCAUCUACACUGACACGGUGCCUGAUCUUGACCGACCGCUCGAGGAGGUGACGACGAUGGCUCAACAUUUGCUUGUGGCCGCUGACAUGUAUGGGCUUGAGAGGCUCAAGCUGAUUUGUGAAAUAAAGCUCUCUGGUGGCAUCACUGUCGACGCCGCAGCGACCACUCUUGCUUUGGCGGAGCAGCACAGUUGCUUGAAGCUCAAGGCCAAAUGUCUCGAGUUUAUCGUCAGCACGCCUGCUGUUCUUGAGGCGUGCUGGCGACAAAUGGGUAUAAGCACCUUGAAGAAAGCUGCCCUUUGGUCCUCACCGAGCUUCUCAAGUCUACCCAUAUAUUCCACAGGAUAG